UCCCACUACUUCACUUGUGA
This 20-nucleotide microRNA is filed under the name Homo sapiens (human). RNAcentral's name for it is "hsa-miR-4301". Lineage: Eukaryota; Metazoa; Chordata; Mammalia; Primates; Hominidae. The record is from miRBase by way of RNAcentral.